GUUCAUCCCAGAGGUUAACGAAUAAGGGUAACAAAUAUUAAUAGCCGUGAUACCUUCUCUAGGAAUAGCCUCAAAAAAAAAAAAAAAAGAUGCUAAAACGUUGUUUCCUCCAACAGAAAAAGAGAGGAGGAGGAGGAGGAAGAGGAGGAGGAGAAAUAGGGAGAGAGAAAAUAAAGAGCAACACCUAAGGAAGAGAGAGAAGUUCCUGCAGGAGCUGGACACUGCAGAGGGUGAGUGUUCCCAGGCAGGGACCCCCCCCCGCCCCCCAACAAGCCCUGCUCCGGCCCAGGGGGGGGCUGCAGGCAGCCUUCCCCUCCCUGCCGGCCAAAUCUUGCAAAAUUUACCCAGUUUCCCCAGGCUGAGCUCUCUCCAGCAUCACCAAGCUCUGGAGACACCCAGGGGAAGCCAGGCCCUUAGCGAAAAGCACCAGGAAAAAAAAAUAAAUAAAUUAAAAUAAAAUAAAAAUGCUUGCUCCAGUUUGCCCCAGUGCAGCGCUGGAGCCGGCCGCCCUCCUCAGCUCGGGGUGUCGUCCCCGUCCCCCCCGCCAAAUAAGCGGGUUGAGGCGGGUAAAGGGGAGAAAAACCUCCAGGGAGGAUGAUGAUGGUGCACAACGCCUUCUCCUGCGCGGCCGCACCAGGAUAGGACCUUCCUGCCCGAGGCAGAAAAAAUCAAAAUCAAAAUGAGAAAUCAAAGCCUCCCCCUGAAUCCCCUGAGGUGUCCCCUCCCCGGGGGAACCGCUUUUCAACCCCCUCCCGACCCCGCGGAAAGAGGUGCGGAGGGGAAGGCAGCGCACCUAUCCACGCGGCUGUGUAUGUGCGCGUAUCGAGAUAUAUAAAAAUAUUCUAUAUAUAUAUAUAUAUAAAUAUAGAUGUGCACGCACAUAUAAGCCUGGACACGCACACACACGCGCAGUUUGCGAACGCCUGCUCCUUGCUCGAGUGUCUCGGUGAAUUUAAAUCAUUAAAUAGCAGCGCAGGAAAUUUAAAUCAUUAAAUAGCAGCGCAGGAAAUACAUAGGUACGCGCGCAACGCGUACGCCUGCUGAUAUACAUCCAUAUAUAUACAUAUAGAUAUAUAUAUAUACGCGGACGCGCCCCGCACAGCCCUCCGCGCGCGGAUUUGCGGGUGACGAAGGCGUCACGCACCCUCGCCCCACGCAUUUUUUGGAGCCACCCGCGCCCCGGCCCCCCCUGAAUCCCAGUGUCCCCUGAGGUGUCCCCUCCCCGGGGGAACCGCUUUUCAACCCCCUCCCGACCCCGCGGAAAGAGGUGCGGAGGGGAAGGCAGCGCACCUAUCCACGCGGCUGUGUAUGUGCGCGUAUCGAGAUAUAUAAAAAUAUUCUAUAUAUAUAUAUAUAUAAAUAUAGAUGUGCACGCACAUAUAAGCCUGGACACGCACACACACGCGCAGUUUGCGAACGCCUGCUCCUU
Molecule: long non-coding RNA, 1429 nt
Filed under: Calidris pugnax (ruff)
Lineage: Eukaryota; Metazoa; Chordata; Aves; Charadriiformes; Scolopacidae
Description: lncRNA (ENSCPUG00000013375.1)
Source: RNAcentral